RNAcentral lists this transfer RNA (73 nucleotides) under Ixodes scapularis (black-legged tick). RNAcentral describes it as "tRNA-Glu". It matches the Rfam family "tRNA". Rfam says of the family: Transfer RNA (tRNA) molecules are approximately 80 nucleotides in length. Their secondary structure includes four short double-helical elements and three loops (D, anti-codon, and T loops). Lineage: Eukaryota; Metazoa; Arthropoda; Arachnida; Ixodida; Ixodidae. The record is from RNAcentral.
UCCGGCGUGGUCUAGUGGCUAGGAUACCUGGCUUUCACCCAGGAGGCCCCGGGUUCGAUUCCCGGCGUCGGAA